AAUUCUCAACCUUAUCAGUUUAUUUCUGAUAGUGGCUUGGAUGUGGGGGUUUCUCUUGCUGGCUCAGGUCAGCUCCCCUUAAAUGCAUUAGCUGGUGCCCUGUGUGGACUUGUCUAUUGGUGUGAUAAUUAUCUACGCCAUGCAUGGAUGUCUGCUUAGCACUGCUUCUAACCGUCUCUGACAAUACAUGACA
RNAcentral lists this unclassified non-coding RNA (193 nucleotides) under uncultured Agaricales. RNAcentral describes it as "sequence contains ITS2". Lineage: Eukaryota; Fungi; Basidiomycota; Agaricomycetes; Agaricales. The record is from RNAcentral.